UACGUAGGGUGCAGGCGUUAAUCGGAAUUACUGGGCGUAAAGCGUGCGCAGGCGGUUGUGCAAGACAGAUGUGAAAUCCCCGGGCUCAACCUGGGAACUGCAUUUGUGACUGCACAGCUUGAGUGCGGCAGAGGGGGAUGGAAUUCCGCGUGUAGCAGUGAAAUGCGUAGAUAUGCGGAGGAACACCGAUGGCGAAGGCAAUCCCCUGGGCCUGCACUGACGCUCAUGCACGAAAGCGUGGGGAGCAAACAGG
Molecule: ribosomal RNA, 253 nt
Filed under: uncultured bacterium
Lineage: Bacteria
Description: partial 16S ribosomal RNA
Rfam family: Bacterial small subunit ribosomal RNA
Source: RNAcentral